Molecule: unclassified non-coding RNA, 293 nt
Filed under: Hevea brasiliensis (rubber tree)
Lineage: Eukaryota; Viridiplantae; Streptophyta; Magnoliopsida; Malpighiales; Euphorbiaceae
Source: RNAcentral
CCCAGCGCUGUGGCGCAGGCGGCUGCAAAGACGCCAAGCGCGAUCGUGAUCCGCGUCGGCAGUGCGGUUGCCGAGAUCAGGACCGGCGCAAGAAAAAGAAAUGAAAAGGGAUUUUGCAGGCCGCCCGUCAGGAACAGNNCAGCGAGCUCGGCGAUGUUGAUCGCGAGGAGGGCGGCGGCAUAACGGGGCGCCAGGCGGUGGACCGGGUUAAACCGGAUCUGCAGCGCCAGAUUGAGAAGCGACGACAGUCCGAUGAUGACCACGCAGGGGAUCACCGGGACCUCGAAAUCAAG